Molecule: non-coding RNA, 1798 nt
Organism: Phoenix dactylifera (date palm)
Lineage: Eukaryota; Viridiplantae; Streptophyta; Magnoliopsida; Arecales; Arecaceae
Source: RefSeq, a predicted model, not a curated record
AAUAUCUGUCAAGCGUGCGGGACGACAUAAAAGGCGACCCAGUUACACCAUUCGCCUCUCGGUUCUCUCCUCCCUCUCUUCCAACACCCUGAAUCCAAGAAUCCCUGUCCCCUCUGAUCUCGUUCCAGCGGAAACCGACCCGUCCCACCCAGUUCUUCUACCAAUAAAAAAAAAAAAAAAAAAAAAACCCUAGUCUCCUCUACAUCGAAGAACUCGGAUUGGCACGCAUCUUUUACCGCGCGGGCGGGCUGCCACCCCCAUUGAAGCCCACGCGGGCCCUCAGAGGUGAAUCUUUCUCUUUUCCCCGGCUAUCCGUUUCAGAUAAAGCAUCUAAACGUCGCCACGCCGGCUCUCAGAGGUUCCAAAGGAAAUUUUCAAAGAUAGUUGGAUUUGUCGGCUGAUUAUUUUUACAAGAGAGAGUUCUCUAUGGAUGUGCGGCGAUUGCCUUCUCCUUGGCUUAUGAUUUCGGUCAGAGGCAUGACACCCCCCCCUAUUGAUCUUAUUUAUUCUUGUGAAUACGAUAACAAAAGAUUCUCAAUAUUUUUAUGAAUUUAGUAAUUUAAAUAUGGAAAUUAUCAUGAGUAAUUAUACAUGCCAAUAUCAUGUGUUUGUCUUUCAGAACUGUUUAUUGGUUAAUCUCAAAAUCUUCUACUGUUGAAGAGUCAAGUUAUGUAAUUAACUUAUUUACAUCUUUGAUUGCCAAUGUGUAACCUUUUUGGACCGCACUUGAUUUGGAAGCAUUGUUUUCUAUCACAUGAGUUUUCACUUCUUAUGAUGAUAAAUGCUUGGCCAUUAUAUGCUAUUUAAAUUUAGAUUGGUGUUCCUUAAUUUCGUUGAUUGUAUGAACAUAUACAUAUAUUCUUCAUUUUGUUGAUUGUGCUAGAAGUUUUUUUAUUGACAUGUUGAUCCUCUUAGGUUAAAAAAAAUUGUCCAAAUGAUGCCAGAUGCUACAAAGAGGUUGAAGGAAUGUUUAAAGGCUGUCCAGAAGCUUUGAUUCGAAGAAGCAAUUGCUGUUCAUGAAUUAGAAAGUGGGAAAAUAGCUAUGUAUCUUUCCAGAGGAAAUCAUGAAAGUAAGAGCAUCAACAAAAUUUCUGGUUUUGAGGGACAGGUCCGGUAAAAGUUGAGCGGAACAUCUGUUGAACUCUGCAGCAGUAUUUUGUUGUUUACCUUGGCUCAUGUCAUAAAUAGCAAGAUUUUUGUAGUUCAUGAAGGAUUAUUUAGUGUUGGUGGUAUGAAGCUCUCUGAUAUACGAGCUAUUGAUCAUUUUUGGGGGCCUAGUGAAGAAGGUCUUAGAAGCAUCUGAAAAAUGCCAUACUUGGAAAGCGCCAUGGAAAACACUUCCACCUCAGCCCCCCACCCAACCAAGAAGAAAAGGAAAAAUAGAGAGAACAUGCAUGCAUAGAGCAAUUCUACAGAAUAGAUCCUGCAUUGCAAGAAGAUGCUGUAUCGAUUAAGCACUCGAUUUCGGUAACACACCAUCGAUAUCUAUAAAAUGUACGAGGAGAUGAGUGCUUUAGGCUAGCCUGUGGGGUUGGAUAAUCUUGAUUAGAGCAGAGCUUCAUUUGUCACAUCCGUAGCAGAAUAUACUAACCAAUAGUUACGAUGUAGAGAAAAAAUCAGUCAUUAAAAAUCAGAUUAAUGUAACUAUUUGAAAGAUAAUUGAUUUGUGUAGUUUUUAAAAGUUGGCAUGUAGCAGUGACUUGACAAACAUUUUCAAAAAGAAUGAACAUUUUGAAAUCAUGCAUUUUAUCCCACUUCUUGCAACAUCUAGACUUCAAUAAACUUUGGCUUUUGCUAC